CAGCGCCACAAGUGGGAAUCACAUUUAUUGGGCCUAAAGCGUCCGUAGCCUGUCUGAAAAAUCUCUUGUGAAAUCGUUCGGCUUAACCGAACGGCGUGCAGGAGACACUGUCAAACUAGAGACCGGGAGGGGUCAGAGGUAUUCCAUGAGGAGCGGUAAAAUGCUAUAAUCCAUGGAGGACCACCGGUGGCGAAGGCGUCUGACCAGAACGGAUCUGACGGUGAGGGACGAAAGCCAGGGGAGCAAUCCGGAUUAGAUACCCGAGUAGUCC
Molecule: ribosomal RNA, 271 nt
Filed under: uncultured archaeon
Lineage: Archaea
Description: partial 16S ribosomal RNA
Rfam family: Archaeal small subunit ribosomal RNA
Source: RNAcentral